RNAcentral lists this ribosomal RNA (495 nucleotides) under uncultured bacterium. RNAcentral describes it as "partial 16S ribosomal RNA". It matches the Rfam family "Bacterial small subunit ribosomal RNA", at positions 29 to 523 of the family's 1533-position model. The record is from RNAcentral.
AAUAAACGCUGGCGGCGUGCCUAACACAUGCAAGUCGAGCGAGAAAAGUCUUCGGACUUAGUAAAGCGGCAGACGGGUGAGUAAUGCGUAGGAAUCUGCCCUUCAGUGAGGAAUACCCUCGAGAAAUCGAGGUUAAUACUGCAUACGUCCCUUCGGGGAGAAAGAUGGCCUCUUUGCUGUCGCUGAAGGAUGAGCCUGCGUGCUAUCAGCUAGUUGGUAGGGUAAAGGCCUACCAAGGCUAUGACGGCUAGCCGGCCUGAGAGGGUGUACGGCCACACUGGAACUGAGACACGGUCCAGACUCCUACGGGAGGCAGCAGUGGGGAAUCUUGCGCAAUGGGCGAAAGCCUGACGCAGCGACGCCGCGUGGAGGAUGAAGGUCUUCGGAUUGUAAACUUCUGUUAAGUGGGAAGAAAACCUUAGUUCUAAUAAAGCUAGGGCAUGACGGUACCAUUAAAGAAAGCACCGGCUAACUUCGUGCCAGCAGCCGCCGUAA